AAAAGGACCGCCAAAACUUAAAGAACUAAUGACCUUCAAAACGCAACGUUUUGAAUAUACCUAAUGAGUAAUUACCUUCAAAACACGGCUUGGUGCUCUGCCACGUCUGCAACUCUCAUCAUUGAACCACGAGAUUGAACCACGAGGAGGAGGAGGAGGAGGAGGAAGAGGAAAAUUUCAAGGAAGGAAUAGUCUAGAAACCCUUCAAAACACAUAUACGAACUGUGAUGAAUAUUUGAUGUAAAUUAUUGGGAGUAGAAGACAAUGGUGUUACUGCUGGCAAUUGGGGAUCUUCACAUCCCACACAGGGCGCCUGAUCUGCCACCAAAGAUCAAAUCCAUGCUUGUUCAUGGCAAGAUCCAGCACAUCAUUUGCAACUGCAUUCUCUAAAUCAUAGACUAUGGUAUUUUAUUUGGAAGGAAUUCGUAUUAUGGCAAUUUUCACUGUGUCAGAAUGACUUCUCGCCUGUAAAUUCUACCAUUACUCUCUGACUAGCCAUCAAAGUUUUAUAAAAUGAUGACUAAUACAGAGAUUACUAGAUUAGUCGAUCAAAUAUGGUAUCUUGAUCAUUAGCUGUGACAGUGAGAUUUUCUGCAGAGAUUUAGCUAGUGAGUACCUGCUUGCUAGAAACUCUUGAGAGACGCGUAGCAUCGU
Cornus florida is the source of this 654-nucleotide long non-coding RNA. RefSeq lists it as uncharacterized. Lineage: Eukaryota; Viridiplantae; Streptophyta; Magnoliopsida; Cornales; Cornaceae. The record is from RefSeq and is a predicted model, not a curated record. The transcript is spliced from 4 exons.